ACGCUGAAGGCAUCUAAGCGUGAAGCCCCCCUCAAGAUGAGAUAUCCCAUUCUUAAAGAAGUAAACCCCCUUGAAGACGACGAGGUAGAUAGGGCAGAGGUGGAAGUGUGGUAACACAUGGAGCUGACUGUUACUAAUCGGGUGAGGGCUUGACCAAG
This 158-nucleotide ribosomal RNA is filed under the name Blautia schinkii. Its description in RNAcentral is "partial 23S ribosomal RNA". It matches the Rfam family "Bacterial large subunit ribosomal RNA", at positions 2768 to 2925 of the family's 2925-position model. The record is from RNAcentral. Lineage: Bacteria; Bacillati; Bacillota; Clostridia; Lachnospirales; Lachnospiraceae.